RNAcentral lists this long non-coding RNA (1045 nucleotides) under Oryzias sinensis (Chinese medaka). Its description in RNAcentral is "lncRNA (ENSOSIG00000016553.1)". Lineage: Eukaryota; Metazoa; Chordata; Actinopteri; Beloniformes; Adrianichthyidae. The record is from RNAcentral.
AUGAAGCAGGCGUACCUGAAGACUCUGAAGCAGCACUUCCUGAGGAGCUCCCCACUGCAGACACGGCGGAAAAGACUGAAAAUGUGAAGACAGCUAAGGAUGCAGCCAUCAAACCAGCCAGGCUCUGCAGAGGCAGGGCACCAAAUCCACUGGUACCUUUGGGUCUGAAGCGCGGCAAAAAGCCUCUGCCUUCUGCAAAGGCCAAAGGCACAGAGGAAGAUAACCGGGAGGAGAUGGGGAGGGAAGGAGCUGAUCAGGAGCAGGUAUUUCUCCUUUUUUUCCAGUCUACUUAACCUCCUUAUCUGUUUGGACUUUUCCAGUCUGACAUUUUGUGAUAUAUCAGGGAAAAAGUGAAAAUGAAGCCCAGCUGAGCCAAGAAAGGAAGAGGAAGGAUGAUGGUGAUGUUUCUUCUGAGGGUGAGGAGGAUGCUGCAGCUAAACCUCAGAGGCCCACACGAUAUGGCCGAGUGCCCAAACAAGUCCAGCCCUUGAUGUACGCCGCCAAAGACGAUUUGCACUCGCCUGCAUCCUCUGACACGUCCAAAGUUCCCGCCAAGAGGGCAAAGUCGGUCGAACCUCCACCAGUGCAGAAGUCCAAAAAGCCCAAACUGGUCACCCUGAGGUCGUCCAGGUCAGAGUUUAGUGACGAGGAGAACGAAAACGAGUGGGAGGAGGAGGAGCACCACCUCACCCGGAGCUCCAGUCGAGACGGCGACACUCACGGCUUUGUUCAGAGCAGCCUGCACGCCUCCAACACGGAGAUUUCAGAGGUGGAUGACACCAUGGUGGAGCUUGAUAUCUUGGACAGUAUGCCCGAUGUGCUGGGCCUUUCCCAAGAUGCCCUGUGUCCUGACUCAACCUGUCAGCAGGCAGAUCAUGACACAGGCACUUCUGAGCCCAGUGAGCACCAGCUGGACCUGCUUGUUGAUGUUAUAGACUUCAUUUCCUCGGAACAAACUGAAGUGUCUCAGGAUGAGAGCUACACUGAAGCAGCUCAAACCCUUUUGACCAUUGGUAACCGAGCUCAAAUUUCUCCGUCUGCACAG